Molecule: ribosomal RNA, 374 nt
Filed under: uncultured organism
Description: partial 16S ribosomal RNA
Rfam family: Bacterial small subunit ribosomal RNA
Source: RNAcentral
GUAGGUGGCAAGCGUUGUCCGGAAUUAUUGGGGCGUAAAGCGCGCGCAGGCGGUUCUUUAAGUCUGAUGUGAAAGCCCACGGGCUCAACCGUGGAGGGUCAUUGGAAACUGGAGAACUUGAGUACAGAAGAGGAAAGCGUAAUUCCACGUGUAGCGGUGAAAUGCGUAGAGAUGUGGAGGAACACCAGUGGCGAAGGCGGCUUUCUGGUCUGUAACUGACGCUGAGGCGCGAAAGCGUGGGGAGCAAACAGGAUUAGAUACCCUGGUAGUCCACGCCGUAAACGAUGAGUGCUAAGUGUUAGGGGGUUUCCGCCCCUUAGUGCUGCAGCUAACGCAUUAAGCACUUCGCCUGGGGAGUACGGCCGCAAAGGCUG